CUCAACUGACGCUAAUGCUCGAAAGUGCGGGUAUCGAACAGGAUUAGAUACCCUGGUAGUCCGCACGGUAAACGAUGGAUGCCCGCUGUUGGCGAUAUAGUGUCAGCGGCCAAGCGAAAGCGUUAAGCAUCCCACCUGGGGAGUACGCCGGCAACGGUGAAACUCAAAGGAAUUGACGGGGGCCCGCACAAGCGGAGGAACAUGUGGUUUAAUUCGAUGAUACGCGAGGAACCUUACCCGGGCUUGAACUGCAGGAGAACGAUUCAGAGAUGAUGAGGUCCUUCGGGACUCCUGUGGAGGUGCUGCAUGGUUGUCGUCAGCUCGUGCCGUGAGGUGUCGGCUUAAGUGCCAUAACGAGCGCAACCCCUUCCGUCAGUUGCCAUCACUUUGGGUGGGCACUCUGGCGGUACUGCCACCGUAAGGUGUGAGGAAGGUGGGGAUGACGUCAAAUCAGCACGGCCUUUACGUCCGGGGCUACACACGUGUUACAAUGGGUGGUACAGAGAGUCGGCCGCAUGCAAAUUCGGUCUAAUCAUGAAAGCCAUCCUCAGUUCGGAUUGGGGUCUGCAACCCGACCCCAUGAAGCUGGAUUCGCUAGUAA
Molecule: ribosomal RNA, 601 nt
Filed under: uncultured bacterium
Lineage: Bacteria
Description: bacterial SSU rRNA
Rfam family: Bacterial small subunit ribosomal RNA
Source: RNAcentral